Long non-coding RNA from Chinchilla lanigera (long-tailed chinchilla), 693 nucleotides. RefSeq lists it as uncharacterized. The transcript is spliced from 3 exons. Lineage: Eukaryota; Metazoa; Chordata; Mammalia; Rodentia; Chinchillidae. The record is from RefSeq and is a predicted model, not a curated record.
GGCCCAGCAACGGCCGCGCUGCGUGAACCGUGACUGGGGCGCCUGGGAAAGGCAGAGCGGAGAGACAGAGGCCAGAUGUAGUGACAGAGAAUCAUCCAAACCCGAGCAGACUGGAAGAGCUGGGUGCCAGGACACUGUAAGAAACGGACUUUUCAGAUCAGCGCUAAUCGAGAGCAGCGCGGCGCAGGGCCCAGGACGAGCGCAUCCAGGAAGCAGCGGCCGGCGGGCAGCUUCCAGGCCAGAGACCUCACUGACCGCUUCUGUUCGCAAGGGCGCUGGCUCAGGAGCCUCGACUGCAUGAGGAGACACGCGAGGGAUUUCCAUUCCUCGGCUCCUACUCGGGCUUCCGCUGCGGGGGACGCAGAGCGUGGGCGGAGCUUCGUGUAACCACGGUUACCGAUUUGCUUCCAGCAGGCACCAAAAGGGGACAUGAGAGCCUGCAGCAAGAAGGCUACCAUCUGCAAGCCAGAAAAGAGCUCUCCUCAUGAGCCAGAUCUUCCAGCCUCUUGAUCUGGGACUUCCCAGCCUCCAGGGCCAUGAGAAGGAAGUGUCUGUUGCUGAAGCCCCUGUUCAAUGGCAUUCUGUGACAACAGCCUAGGCUGAGACAACCUGUUCCUGCCUCUGAGUCCACAUCUGCUCCAGCCCUAAAGGUGCAUGUGUUUGCCAGUGUCCUCUCUGCUGUCCCUCUAUAUG